AUGAACGCUGGCGGCGUGCUUCACACAUGCAAGUCGAACGGAAAGGCCCAAGCUUGCUUGGGUACUCGAGUGGCGAACGGGUGAGUAACACGUGGGUGAUCUGCCCUGCACUUCGGGAUAAGCCUGGGAAACUGGGUCUAAUACCGGAUAGGACGAUGGUUUGGAUGCCAUUGUGGAAAGUUUUUUCGGUGUGGGAUGAGCUCGCGGCCUAUCAGCUUGUUGGUGGGGUAAUGGCCUACCAAGGCGUCGACGGGUAGCCGGCCUGAGAGGGUGUACGGCCACAUUGGGACUGAGAUACGGCCCAGACUCCUACGGGAGGCAGCAGUGGGGAAUAUUGCACAAUGGGCGCAAGCCUGAUGCAGCGACGCCGCGUGGGGGAUGACGGCCUUCGGGUUGUAAACUCCUUUCGCUAGGGACGAAGCGUUUUGUGACGGUACCUGGAGAAGAAGCACCGGCUAACUACGUG
RNAcentral lists this ribosomal RNA (466 nucleotides) under uncultured bacterium. Its description in RNAcentral is "partial 16S ribosomal RNA". It matches the Rfam family "Bacterial small subunit ribosomal RNA", at positions 29 to 507 of the family's 1533-position model. The record is from RNAcentral.